RNAcentral lists this non-coding RNA (24 nucleotides) under Arabidopsis thaliana (thale cress). Lineage: Eukaryota; Viridiplantae; Streptophyta; Magnoliopsida; Brassicales; Brassicaceae. The record is from RNAcentral.
CAUAUUUGGUAGCCAAGGAUGACU